RNAcentral lists this unclassified non-coding RNA (399 nucleotides) under soil metagenome. Its description in RNAcentral is "partial contains 5.8S ribosomal RNA, internal transcribed spacer 2, and large subunit ribosomal RNA". The stretch from base 1 to 120 matches the Rfam family "5.8S ribosomal RNA", at positions 35 to 154 of the family's 154-position model. The record is from RNAcentral.
GAUGAAGAACGUAGCGAAAUGCGAUACUUGGUGUGAAUUGCAGAAUCCCAUGAACCAUCGAGUCUUUGAACGCAAGUUGCGCCCGAAGCCUCGGCUAAGGGCACGUCUGCCUGGGCGUCACGCAUCGCGUCUCCCCCAAACCGCCAAGGCGGAGGGGAAGGAAGAUGGCUUCCCGUGCCUCACCCAGCGCGGUUGGCCUAAAUUUGGAGCUCGCGACACUUAGCUCUCGCGGCGAUAGGUGGUGAACAAGGCCUUGGCCGUGCAAACAACCCGCUGCGAAGCUCUAUGUCACGUGCGCUCGUCGGACCCUUUGAUGUUGCCUUCAGUGACUUAAAACCUUUGCGACCCCAGGUCAGGCGGGGCUACCCGCUGAAUUUAAGCAUAUCAAUAAGCGGAGGA